RNAcentral lists this ribosomal RNA (440 nucleotides) under uncultured bacterium. Its description in RNAcentral is "bacterial SSU rRNA". It matches the Rfam family "Bacterial small subunit ribosomal RNA", at positions 338 to 795 of the family's 1533-position model. The record is from RNAcentral.
CCUACGGGGGGCUGCAGCGACGAAUCUUCCGCAAUGGGCGCAAGCCUGACGGAGCGACGCCGCGUGUGGGAUGAAGCGUCUACGACGUGUAAACCACUGUCAGAGGACAGAAACACUGAUUGUCCUCAGAGGAAGGGGCGACUAACUCUGUGCCAGCAGUCGCGGUAAGACAGAGGCCCCAAGCGUUAAUCGGAAUCACUGGGCUUAAAGGGUGCGUAGGUGGAUCAGCAAGUGCCUUGUGAAAGCCCCCGGCUCAACCGGGGAACUGCGGGGCAUACUGCUGGUCUUGAGGCAGGUAAGGGUCGCCGGAACAGUAGGUGGAGCGGUGAAAUGCGUAGAUAUCUACUGGAACGCCGAUGGUGAAGACGGGCGACUGGGCCUGACCUGACACUGAGGCACGAAAGCGUGGGGAGCAAACAGGAUUAGAUACCCCAGUAGUC